Molecule: long non-coding RNA, 326 nt
Filed under: Lathyrus oleraceus (garden pea)
Lineage: Eukaryota; Viridiplantae; Streptophyta; Magnoliopsida; Fabales; Fabaceae
Description: Pisum sativum (pea) long non-coding RNA (PSAT_LNC020801)
Source: RNAcentral
CCUUGAGGGCUGUCAAGCACCAGAUUAACAGUCACCCCCAUGGGAAGCAUCAGAAUCAGAGGUUCCUGCAACUUAUUCUUUCAUCUUUCCAUGCCCCUUGGCAAUCAUUAUUCUACCUGACCGUUUGAUCUUUUUUUUUUCUUUUCAGUUCAGGCGUUUCUUGUAUUGCUUAUUUCUUUUCUUUUCUUUCUUUCUUUCUUUUUUUUUUUUUUUUUUUUACAGGACCAACCUCGAUUCCUCUUUCAUUCACAACAUGUCUCGGCAGCUUGCCGGACAGCACCCCAUAAGUGCACUGAUUCGAACUCAAUAGUAUGAGUUAUCUCAAC